CCUACGGGAGGCAGCAGUGGGGAAUAUUGCACAAUGGGGGAAACCCUGAUGCAGCGACGCCGCGUGAGUGAAGAAGUAUUUCGGUACGUAAAGCUCUAUCAGCAGGGAAGAAAAUGACGGUACCUGACUAAGAAGCCCCGGCUAACUACGUGCCAGCAGCCGCGGUAAUACGUAGGGGGCAAGCGUUAUCCGGAUUUACUGGGUGUAAAGGGAGCGUAGACGGGAGCUCAAGUCUGGAGUGAAAUCCCAUGGCUUAACCAUGGAACUGCUUUGGAAACUGUGCAGCUAGAGUGCAGGAGAGGUAAGCGGAAUUCCUAGUGUAGCGGUGAAAUGCGUAGAUAUUAGGAGGAACUCCAGUGGCGAAGGCGGCUUACUGGACUGUAACUGACGUUGAGGCUCGAAAGCGUGGGGAGCAAACAGGAUUAGAUACCCGGGUAGUC
Molecule: ribosomal RNA, 440 nt
Filed under: uncultured bacterium
Lineage: Bacteria
Description: partial 16S ribosomal RNA
Rfam family: Bacterial small subunit ribosomal RNA
Source: RNAcentral